AGGCUGUAGACCCUUACAGGCUGUUUCCCUUGCCGUGCACUGAUCCUCCUCAGCUCCUCCUCGUCUGGUGAACCAGACCUUCCUCCUCUCGCCUUGGUGAAACGGCCUCCGACCCUCGCUGUUUCAACUCACUCUAUCGACAGUCCCACUGAAGCAAGCCCUUUCCCUGGCGCAGUUGUUCCAUAUUAACUGGACUGGACUUUUGGAUAUAUGUAUGCUGAAGACAUGGUGGCAUGGAGUUGCCAGCUGAAAGGAACGUUGUCCACACUGGUUGGAGCUGAGGGUUGUUUUGACUGCUUGGAGCUGGCAGACGUAGACAUGUCCCUUUGGAUUUCAACUGGAGCAGGUCUGAGAGGAAAUUCCUCUGGCACAGAGUGGGGGCAGGCAUGCCUUACCUCUGACAGUCUGGAUAAAACACUUUAGCGCCACUGCAGACUGAGAGCAGAGCGAGGAGAAGGCGGUGGCUGACAGCGUGUUGCUGUGUGUCGCUGUAAGCUGACAACCCUCAUCGGAGGGGAUUUCUGAAAGCAGUCCCAUUGAUUCUUUGUAUACUCUGUGGUGGCUUAUCACAUUGACCUCCUGCCCACCCCUGUUCUCUUUUUCUUCAGAGUGUGUUCACACACACCCAGACAUUUGGCCCAUCUGGAAAUAAUUAAAGAGGAAAAGGAAGGUGGGUGAGGUGGUCAAACCAAUUUUCCCAGUCAGUGAGACCCACCCUAAUUCUGCACGGUGUGGACUCUUAGUUAUUUCCCCACAAUCCCCUUGUAACACCAUUCCUCCUCUUUUGGUUCCCUCCUCUGCAUCACACAGAAUUCCUCUCUGACUAGAGCAGGGUUACUCUUCACUGAAUGUUUCCCAGUAUUCUGCAGCUCUGUAAUUGUCUGUAGCUAUCCUUAGCUCCCGUAACUUACACAGCAGAUUCACAUCAAAGCUCACGCUCACUCAGACGUGGUGGAUUGGUUUGAGCAGAGACUCGACUAGAAGGCAGUAGUUCCAGCUUACACUAUGCCCUAUGUACUGGAAACAGAAUGCAGUAGUACCAACAGUUCACUAACAAACACUGCUUAAUAACACCCUCACGCUUCAGGAUGAUGAGGUAUGGAAAAACCCAAAAAUGACAAUUGUAUCGAUCUAACUUUGAGGAGUUCAACGCAGAAAUGCUGCACAAACUACUGAGUCAACAUGUAGACACAAAACUGAAGCGCUAAAGUGUUUAAGACAUUUAUUAUGCAUACUGUCAAGAGUCAUAGAAAUCAAUCUAAAAAUGUUUUGUUUAAAGACUGGACUUUCA
Molecule: long non-coding RNA, 1291 nt
Organism: Cottoperca gobio
Lineage: Eukaryota; Metazoa; Chordata; Actinopteri; Perciformes; Bovichtidae
Exons: 2
Source: RefSeq, a predicted model, not a curated record